UGAAAGAAACACUAUAAAGCAGGGUGUCAAACAGCCUCUGUAGAAUGGGGAACUGCAUGUCAAAUGGCUGCAAAUGUCCAUCUACUGGAGAUGAAACUUACCAGGAAACCACUAGAAACAAAAAAUCAUUUUGUGAGGACUGCUGCUCAUGUUGCUGUCCAGUUGUUUUGCCUUCCAGAGGACAGCACCAGAUCCUUCCUGAAGAAAAUGCUUCAGCUGAUAACACGGAGGUGGGAAACAGAGCUGUUCAUAAUGCAAAACCAGAAACAGAGUCUGCAAUUACAGAUCAACGUAGAAGAAGCCCAAGGAAUUCAGCAGAGAGGAAACAAGGCCUCAUCUCAAAAAAAAAAGUCUCAA
Long non-coding RNA from Scleropages formosus (Asian bonytongue), 357 nucleotides. RefSeq lists it as uncharacterized. The record is from RefSeq and is a predicted model, not a curated record. The transcript is spliced from 3 exons. NCBI's taxonomy places the organism in Eukaryota, Metazoa, Chordata, Actinopteri, Osteoglossiformes, Osteoglossidae.